This 1024-nucleotide long non-coding RNA is filed under the name Capsicum annuum. Its description in RNAcentral is "long non-coding RNA (CANN_LNC018565)". The record is from RNAcentral. Lineage: Eukaryota; Viridiplantae; Streptophyta; Magnoliopsida; Solanales; Solanaceae.
ACCUAUACCCCUAGGUUGCCCCCCUCUCUCACGAUUUUAAUAUACACACACACUCACUGGAAAAGAGAUACGCAUACAGGCCUCACACAUAAUUCACACACUACACUCACUGAUAAAAUACACCCACACAGUAACACACCUCAUGAUACAGAUACUCUCAACAUCUCACAGUACCACACACACAGAAAGAGACAUGGAUUUCCUCUAAUUCAUUGAAAUUCCCACGUCUAUCACACAAUACUGAGCUCAUAUAUGCACACACACAAUAUUCACGCACACACACAACUUCUACACAGUGAGAAAUACACACACAAAAAUGGGAAAGGGAGAAUGGUGUGAGAAUCAAUAAAUAUGGGGAGAUAGAGAUCAGAAACAGAGAAAAUUGAGAGAGAGAGAAGAAAAAACAAAGAGUUUUGAGAGGGAGGAGAGUCGAGGCUUGAACUGAAAAGGAGAAAUUCAUAGCUGUUGAAUUUUUCGGCGAGUUUCUCGCCGGAAAUCGCUGAGUAUACAAGCAAACCAGUCACCGCCGACCUGUUUCCUAUUUUUUGAUCAGGAACUCACCAAAAAUUGACUCCACCAGCUGAAGAUCGACAAAACCCAACUAAAAUCCAAUAGCGGCGGCCCCAUUUUCGUUUUCGUUCUGGCAAAGUUCAUCGAAAAUCGUGAAGGGUUUCUCAUUUUUUUUUCAUAAUUUGUCUUUGUUUGCUCGUCUUUUGCUUGGGUUUAAAUCUGUCCGGGUUGUUAUUUCUUGAUAUAAAGUUGAUUUAGCUCGUGUUUGAGGCUUUGUCGUCUGAGGAUUCUGGAUUGGGGCUUUCAUGAACUCAUUAUUAUCAGCAACCAGUAUUGAGGUCCAAAUUCUCAACUCUAUUUAUUUUUCUUAUUAAAGUAAUGUGGUUAAUGAUAUGAUUUAUUGGUGACAUGACUUUUGAUUGUGUGGUUGAGCAAUGCUAAUUGUUGUGGUUUGAUUGAUUGAUAGAAAUUGAUUAAUUAGUCGAGAACAACUUGAACUCAAUUGGGAAUAAAU